AGUGUACAAGAGUUGCUAUAGCAAUCUCACAGCUGUGCUCUGUCUAGCAGAAACUUGGGAUACAGAAAAACAGCAAAUACAAAUUAUGGAUGAAAUUUAUAAGAUCACUUCCACAGAAAGGGUCCAGCUGUUGGAGAAAAAACUGGCUGUGCAACUGACUGAACUGAAGUCUGAGAUAGAAGAGCAGGGAGCUCUUCAGGGAACAGCUAAUCGAGUUUACAGCUCUGUUCAAAUGCCAAAGGAUAUUUAUUACUUUAGAAGAGAGAGGGAACUAGCACUGAAGAAAACCUUGCAGGUGGCCGAGUCGAAGCCCCUUGUUGUUCAGGCAGACGUCAUGCAGAGGGAGCUAGAGAGCUGCCUAAGAAGGGAGUACACCCCUGAAAAUUUACCUUUGCUUCUGUUGCAGUAUUACACAGAGAGAAUUACCCAGCUGGCCCAGAGUAAAUAUUUACACAUGCUUAGGUGGAAGAGGUUUUGCCAACACAGUAAGAUCAUGGAGCAACUUUAUCCUCUUUACAAGAAACACGUUGGCUACAUUAUGCAGGAGUACAAUGAUGCCCUUCAGAGAGCUGAAAGAUUGUCUGUUGCUCGAGAAAACUUCCUCAUGGGAAAAAACAAUCCUCCUAACUUAGUGACACAGGAAGAUCUGACUAUUUACACAAAGUGGUUAGUGUGCCACCUGCACUCUCGAGACUGUUCACCAGUACCUGCAGGCCCUCCAGUAUUUGCCCAUCUCCAAAGUGCUGAGUGUAGAUUUCAACCAAGUUGCUGAAGUUGGUCAGAAAAAUGAAAAUGUCUGGUCAAUGACAUUGACCCUGACAUUCAGAGUUCUGCAUCUCCUGACCCUGUGGAUACCAGCAUUUCUGGGCCAAUGAGAACAGAAGCUACUUUUGUCCUCCCCCAACAUGCAACAGAAACAGGAGAACUGAAACCUCAGCUGAAGCUCCUGCUCUCCCAUUUCAAUAUCCCAUAUGAUGUAGAAGAGCUCUGGGACUCUGCUAAGGAAAUGGAACUUUUUUCCUUGGUUUCCCAAAAAUUUCAAAGCAUCUUCAUGGAGCAACAGAGAUUGCAAAUGUUUCCAGACUAUGAAGCUGGAAUAGCUAAAGCAGAUAAUUUGGGUUUGGCAGGACCCAGAAUGACCCUGAAAAAGAGAGCCAACUGGAUUUCCUUCAUAAAGAUCAAGCCAAAAUGUGAUCUGUGGCAAAAGAAGCUUUUGACUAAAUUAAAAGAAUGGAGAAGAACAGAUGCAUUAUUGCAACUCCAAGCAAAGUUUUUGAAGACUUCCAACCCUGAGCGAAUAAUGCAAGUGCUCCAAGAUCACGCUGCAAAGACAGUCAUGCUGGCUCCACAUCAUCCAUCUUUUGUGGCUUCCCAAGGUUUGCAUCAGUGCAACUAUGACCAAGUCUGGGAGAAUAUUUACAGCAACAUCAACCUCUGUCAGAAUAAAAAUAUGAAGGAUGACGAUCUCUCCAUGAAACAAAAUGAAAAUGAUCUAUCACAAAUAAGUCUCAGCCAACAUGCUGAUGGGCCUCUCAAGCAGAUACAAGAGACGGGGUACAACUAUGCAAUGACCCUACAACUGCUGGGCUUGGAUGGCGGCACUGAGCCCAGUGAUAGGAAUCCUGUUCUGAUGAGAGGGGCCUACUUGUCUUUUCUGUAUCUACGCCACCUUCGAAUCAGAGAACUGCAGUGCAUCUGCUUAGGAAUUCUGAAUUAUUUCAGAUCUGUUGAGCGAACCCUGACAAUCAAUACUUCGGGCCUUACCUUGGUUUCAGGGAAACUGUUCCCCACCAUGGAAGAUAGUUCCUGGGUAAAUAUGGCAAAAGGAGGUCUGGGCACCUUGCAGGGCCUGGGCACUCACCACUAUGUCCAUGAGACGCCUGCUGAGCACAAGGUCCACAGCGUCCAAUUCAUGGAGUUCUCGGAAGUGGAGAAUCAGGAUGACUACUACAGCACA
Molecule: small RNA, 1957 nt
Filed under: Pongo abelii (Sumatran orangutan)
Lineage: Eukaryota; Metazoa; Chordata; Mammalia; Primates; Hominidae
Description: processed transcript
Source: RNAcentral